Molecule: non-coding RNA, 111 nt
Organism: Acanthosepion pharaonis
Lineage: Eukaryota; Metazoa; Mollusca; Cephalopoda; Sepiida; Sepiidae
Source: the annotation of a GenBank genome assembly
UGGCUAUAUCAUGUUGAAACACCAGUUCCCAUAUGAUUAUCAAAAUUAAGCAAUGUUAAGGCUGGUCAGUACCUAGAUGGGUGACUGCUUGGGAAUACCAGGUGCUGUAAG